UAAUGGGUCAGCGACUUAUAUUCUGUAGCAAGGUUAACCGAAUAGGGGAGCCGAAGGGAAACCGAGUCUUAACUGGGCGUUAAGUUGCAGGGUAUAGACCCGAAACCCGGUGAUCUAGCCAUGGGCAGGUUGAAGGUUGGGUAACACUAACUGGAGGACCGAACCGACUAAUGUUGAAAAAUUAGCGGAUGACUUGUGGCUGGGGGUGAAAGGCCAAUCAAACCGGGAGAUAGCUGGUUCUCCCCGAAAGCUAUUUAGGUAGCGCCUCGUGAAUUCAUCUCCGGGGGUAGAGCACUGUUUCGGCAAGGGGGUCAUCCCGACUUACCAACCCGAUGCAAACUGCGAAUACCGGAGAAUGUUAUCACGGGAGACACACGGCGGGUGCUAACGUCCGUCGUGAAGAGGGAAACAACCCAGACCGCCAGCUAAGGUCCCAAAGUCAUGGUUAAGUGGGAAACGAUGUGGGAAGGCCCAGACAGCCAGGAUGUUGGCUUAGAAGCAGCCAUCAUUUAAAGAAAGCGUAAUAGCUCACUGGUCGAGUCGGCCUGCGCGGAAGAUGUAACGGGGCUAAACCAUGCACCGAAGCUGCGGCAGCGACACUAUGUGUUGUUGGGUAGGGGAGCGUUCUGUAAGCCUGUGAAGGUGGCCUGUGAGGGUUGCUGGAGGUAUCAGAAGUGCGAAUGCUGACAUAAGUAACGAUAAAGCGGGUGAAAAGCCCGCUCGCCGGAAGACCAAGGGUUCCUGUCCAACGUUAAUCGGGGCAGGGUGAGUCG
RNAcentral lists this ribosomal RNA (773 nucleotides) under Escherichia coli. RNAcentral describes it as "partial 23S ribosomal RNA". It matches the Rfam family "Bacterial large subunit ribosomal RNA", at positions 613 to 1386 of the family's 2925-position model. The record is from RNAcentral. Lineage: Bacteria; Pseudomonadati; Pseudomonadota; Gammaproteobacteria; Enterobacterales; Enterobacteriaceae.